GACGAACGCUGGCGGCGUGCUUAACACAUGCAAGUCGAACGGAAAGGCCCUGCUUUUGUGGGGUGCUCGAGUGGCGAACGGGUGAGUAACACGUGAGUAACCUGCCCUUGACUUUGGGAUAACUUCAGGAAACUGGGGAUAAUACCGGAUAGGAGCUCCUGCUGCAUGGUGGGGGUUGGAAAGUUUCGGCGGUUGGGGAUGGACUCGCGGCUUAUCAGCUUGUUGGUGGGGUAGUGGCUUACCAAGGUUUUGACGGGUAGCCGGCCUGAGAGGGUGACCGGCCACAUUGGGACUGAGAUACGGCCCAGACGCCAACGGGAGGCAGCAGGGGGGAAUAUUGCACAAUGGGCGGAAGCCUGAUGCAGCAACGCCGCGUGCGGGAUGACGGCCUUCGGGUUGUAAACCGCUUUCGCCUGUGACGAAGCGUGAGUGACGGUAAUGGGUAAAGAAGCACCGGCUAACUACGUG
Molecule: ribosomal RNA, 468 nt
Filed under: uncultured bacterium
Lineage: Bacteria
Description: partial 16S ribosomal RNA
Rfam family: Bacterial small subunit ribosomal RNA
Source: RNAcentral